GAGAUCCACUAUCUGCAAUAAGGAGUAAUUUUUCAUGGAGGACCUAGAAACCAAAGCCAUCCACACACUGCAGACCCACACUCUGGAAACGAUAUGUUGAUGACAUCCUGGAAAUAAUAAAAUCUGGACACACACAAGAACUUAUCGAUCAUCUGAACGACAUGGACGACACAGGAAAUAUACAAUUCAUGCACGAAGAAGAAAUAAACCGGACCAUUUCAUUUUUGGACUUAAACAUACACCACAGAGAAGACAGCAGCAUUAAGAUCACAGUUUACAGGAAACCUACACAUACAGACCAGAACCUCCUCUGGACAUCAGAACAUCCCACAGUUUACAAACUAUCAGUAGUUAGAACACUUUAUGAAAGGACAAGUAUCAUAACAGACGAUAAAAACAAACAGGAGGAGGAAAAACACAUCAAGAACGCACUCACACACUGCCAAUACCUGACAUGGGCCAUCAACAAAGGAAAACAACAAGCUAAAAACAAAGUAAAUACACAAAAGGAAACACAAACAAAACAACCGGACAAUAAAAACAAAGACACAAUCACCAUCCCAUACAUCCGUGGGAUAACAGAACCCAUACAGCGCAUAAUGAAAAAACACAACAUCAACACAGCAGUAAAACCACAUACAAAACUCCGGCAGCUAUUAGUCCAUCCCAAAGACAAAAUAGAACCGGACAAGAAAUGCAGCAUCAUUUAUGAAAUUCCGUGCAAAUCUUGCGAGAAAACAUACAUUGGAGAAACAGGCAGAUCAUUCAGCACAAGACGAAAAGAACACCAGACAGAAUGCGAAAAGGAAACAACUGGACGACUCACAAGAACACAAAAAGAAAAAGCCGAACAAGAAAACAAAAAAUCAGCCAUCAGGGAUCACUGCAAAAGAAAUAAUCAUAUCAUGGACUGGGACAGGGGGAGGAUUGUAACAUCGGAGACCAACAAGCAUAAACGAUGGAUCAAGGAGGCCAUCGAGAUCAGGAAGCGGGCGAGCUGCUCCAUGAACCGGGACGAGGGGGACUACACCCUCUAAUACCUGGGACUCCAUCCUCCAGAGAGCACCUGGCGGCGGGGGGCGUGGCCUAUCUGACAGAUUCUGACAGAUCUGUCAGACCGGUCACCUGAUAAAAAAGGACACGUCAGCACACGUCAGAUGACGCUCUGAAGAAGACUGCAGUUGCAGUUGAAACAUGUCAGCUAAGACCUGACCGUGAACACCGUUGACACCCACCUCAGGGAGACGCUGCCUAAGAUCUCAAGGCUGCUUGGUCGUGGUCUUUCUGGCACGUACUCUUCCAAGAUGAGCCGGGAAGUUUAACACUGAUGGAAUGACACCAGGUCUAAGCCGACAAACUUCCACUUCCUCCUCAACCCAUAGUCUCUGGGAAACCUACAUGGAGUAAGAAAAGUAGACAGAGAAAACAAUUGUGGGUGUUAUAUCUAGAUAACCACAAGAUGGCAGCGGAUGUUGCAUUCCAGUAGCUGGGAGACUUCAGAGAGCAGCCGAUGCACCAAGCUGACACAAGGGAGCAAAGGCAACAGGAAACCUGAGCUGAAACCAAACAGCGCCUGUGAAGGACCUGACCUCAGUGCCCCUGCAAAACCCUGGAGCUGCCGCCUUCAGAGGCUCCUCUCGACCCCUGGCCCCUCGGCUCUGUGUCUGAAAACUACUACUAUUGUAUCUAGUGACAUUUACAGCCAGCGUGCGUCAGUGUCUUUGUUGAAACAAUUACAGAAGCCUUUUGUCAGACAUGAUAGUCUGAGAUGCUGCAGUUGACUCUGCCUUCCAGUGGCCUCAGAGAUGUCUCUGUGUCACUCUGACAACAUUAAGGAGCCUAAUUGCAUCAUUCGUUUAAUACGAAGAGAAAAAGUAGGACAGAUAAAUCUUGCAACACACAGAAGCCUGUAAAUCAUGGCUACGUAACUGCUGGAGGACAUACAAAGAAGCUGAAAUGGAAGAUCCAAGGCUGAAGUGAGGAAGCUGCUAGUCUAAAUUUUUGGACAUUCUUAUACUUUUUUCCUCCUAUGUCUGACUGUGUGUCAAGACCUCCAUCUGUUUUUACUGUUGUUUGAGUACUGUCACUGAUGCAAGAAAGGAUUUCUGUCAUGACUGCCCAUCAGAUCAGAUGCUCUUCCGUGCUUUUCUUCUUUACUUUUAUCUUGGCUCAGGUAGGGGAAGUGGUUUUCUGUAAAUCAAAGUGAACCAAUAAAUAAAAGAACAUCAAA
Molecule: long non-coding RNA, 2230 nt
Organism: Amphiprion ocellaris (clown anemonefish)
Lineage: Eukaryota; Metazoa; Chordata; Actinopteri; Pomacentridae
Exons: 4
Source: RefSeq, a predicted model, not a curated record